AGUGAACUAAUUGCCUACUUCAAAAGCAGUUUUGCAUGAAAGUCAACAUCUAAUUGGAACUCACAAUGCCCGACACCUCCACACAUCUGCCACAAAUUCCAUGGAAAACAAUACCCACAGAAACUGAACAUACCUUGGUUAACCGUAUAUGAAAUGGGUAACCAUCCUCGAAGAACAUCAACCAGCCGUCGGCAAUGUGCAGGUGGACUGAGGAAUUUUCCGGUGUGUCCUUUAU
Molecule: long non-coding RNA, 235 nt
Organism: Leguminivora glycinivorella
Lineage: Eukaryota; Metazoa; Arthropoda; Insecta; Lepidoptera; Tortricidae
Exons: 3
Source: RefSeq, a predicted model, not a curated record